UCCCUAGUAGUUCAGAGGUUAAAGUGUCUGCCUGCAAUGCAGAAGACCCGGGUUGGAUCCCUGGGUUGGGAA
Bos taurus (domestic cattle) is the source of this 72-nucleotide non-coding RNA. Lineage: Eukaryota; Metazoa; Chordata; Mammalia; Artiodactyla; Bovidae. The record is from Rfam.